AUUGAACGCUGGCGGCAUGCCUUACACAUGCAAGUCGAACGGCAGCACGGGAGCAAUCCUGGUGGCGAGUGGCGAACGGGUGAGUAAUAUAUCGGAACGUGCCCGGUCGUGGGGAUAACGUAGCGAAAGCUACGCUAAUACCGCAUACGAUCUACGGAUGAAAGCGGGGGAUCGCAAGACCUCGCGCGAUUGGAGCGGCCGAUAUCAGAUUAGGUAGUUGGUGAGGUAAAGGCUCACCAAGCCGACGAUCUGUAGCUGGUCUGAGAGGACGACCAGCCACACUGGGACUGAGACACGGCCCAGACUCCUACGGGAGGCAGCAGUGGGGAAUUUUGGACAAUGGGGCGCAAGCCUGAUCCAGCAAUGCCGCGUGCAGGAUGAAGGCC
Molecule: ribosomal RNA, 386 nt
Filed under: uncultured bacterium
Lineage: Bacteria
Description: bacterial SSU rRNA
Rfam family: Bacterial small subunit ribosomal RNA
Source: RNAcentral